This 571-nucleotide long non-coding RNA is filed under the name Equus asinus (donkey). Its description in RNAcentral is "lncRNA (ENSEASG00005031573.1)". The record is from RNAcentral. Lineage: Eukaryota; Metazoa; Chordata; Mammalia; Perissodactyla; Equidae.
UGGGGCCAUAAUCUAAUAGGAUUGGUGGCCUUAUAAGAAGAAAAAGAGAGGGAACUCUCUCUCUGUCUCUCUGCCUCUCCCUCCCUCCCUCCAUGUACACAGACUGAGGAGAGGCCAUGUGAGGACACAGUGAGACAGUGACCAUUUGCAAGACAGGAAGAGAGCUGUCACCAGAACCUGAACCCUGCAGGAACCUUGAUCUUGGACUUUCCAGCCUCCCGAACUAUGAGUUGGCCUAAAAGAAAGGACAGUCCAGUAGCAACAAGCACACCCAGUACGAAGAUCUUGGUUUGUAAUACCAUUCUCUGCUAAAAGGAGUCGGAUUCCUCGGAGAAAGGACUGAUCGUAGGACUGCAGCAAGAAAUACCCAAGAUGAGCCUGGAGCAUCUUGUGGUGCCAGGAAGUAAGGAAGUGCUCAAAGGUGUGGCUGCCUUUAAAGAAGUGGUAUGAACUCAAAGGCCUGUGAAAGUCUGGCAGGAAACCAACAAGUGAUACCGGUCAAGUUUGCUAGGGCCACUGUAACAAAAUACCACAGACUGAGUGGAUCAAACAGCAGACAUUUACUCCUCAC